GCAGAAUGACCCGAUGAAGAGACCUCCUCUCUCUGAAUGCAGGGAGGGCUAGAGAUGCAGAUAUGCAUAAGCGCAUGGUGCUGAGGAUGGAGUGACUGAGCCCUUGACUGCAGCUCCCUUCAGAGACUGCAGUUUACUGGCUGCACACAGUCUGGUGUGGGGAGGACAAUUUUUCCCUGUGAAGCCUGCCAGGGAGCUGGUUUGGAUUAAAGUCACAUACAAACUGAGCCAUCUCCAACAUCUACAUCAGGAAGUAACUCUAACUCAAGAUAGAGGUCACUGGAGGGGCAACAGGUGCUGAGAUGUCUAUGCAGGCAAGUCUGAGGUUAGCCUCCCAGAGUUUCGGGGAAAAGCACACAGGCAUUCCUGAACACUCUGAGAGGUGCAGAAAAGUGGCUGAGCAGACAGACACAAGGUCUGGCAUGGAGGCAGAGGAUCACAGCGGAGCAUGGACCUAACAGCUGGAUGCCGUGUGGUGAUAUCACUAUCAGCAGAAGAUGCAACAAGACCGGGGCCACUGCUCAAGGCCAGAGAAACAGGUUUGUAGGGGCCAGUGGGUCAGCGGUGACCAUAGAAGACAGUCUUCUCUACUUUGAUAGCAAAACAAUGCGUAAGGCACCUGAGGAACUCAGAUUACAACCAGGGAGAAGAAAAUCAGAGGUACAAGGUGGGAUGCAUCCUGAAUUGGUAGAGGAGAUACCCCAGAGUGUUCUACCAGAGUUGACAGAAUUACCUUGAAUAAAUAAGAAGAAGGUAUUUUAUUACCAACAGUCUCAUGGGCUAAGUUUAAGUACAGAGGAAUAAAGUUAUAUCUUUACACACUUGGGUGUGUGACAAUGUAAAAUGUCAACAUUAUACUUCCCAAUGGACUAUGCCAUGCAGAAGGCAGAAAGAAGUCAAAAGCCUGUUCUUUUUUUUCCCAUUCCAUAGUAAAUAGCAGAAAUUAUUCCCUUUGUUAAUCUAAGCAUACACCAGUCUGUAGGUUCAUAAUGAGAAAUAACUUUUUGUUCUUUGAUUUUUUUAAACAAAAUAUAGAAUUUAUAAGACAAACCCUUUUUGGUUUGUGUUUUAUUCCACCUUCUUUUAGCUAGAUUUGAAUGAAAGCAAAAUAAAGCUAUGUAUUGAAUAAAUAUGUUAACUCCACAGUAUUUUUGAAUAUAUAUUUUUCAUGGUAUAGUUCCAACUUUCAUUGGUGAUAUUGAUAUGAAAGUCAGAUUUACUGAGAGGUAAUGUUCAGCCUUGGAAGCAUCACCAAAAUGUGUAUAUAAGGCCUUUGUCCACUAAUGAGUGUCCUUUUAUGUGACUGGUUUUGUAAAGCCUUACACUGUGAAUGGACCGUCAAUCAACUCGCAGCUGCACUGAGGCCUUCGGAUGGCUGUAUCCAUGGCAACGUGCCAAAAAUGGCGGCGCAAAUUAAUCCAUUUGUGUGAAAUUCUCAGUGAGAGUCCACUUUCAUCUUUCAGAAACUACUGUUAGGAAGUCUGAUGAUAAUGUAAAAUACUAAGCAAAAGCAAAAUAGUGAUGGACUAUCCACAGGAUCUUCUCCCUGUAAACAGUGGGACUUCUUUUCCUUUUUAUCUGCUAGAGAUGACAGAGCAGAGUUGGGGAUGUAAUAUUACCACCAUAAUGUUCUUUUUACAAAAAAAGUUACAUUAAUUUAAUGUUCACAUAUAGGCUUCUUUUUCACCUUCUCUCACAAUGCUAUCUAAUCAGCCUGGAAAAUAAGUACAAUGAUUUACACAGUGGUACAAAAUUAAAAGUAAUCUUUUAUCUUGAUGCUUUAUUGCUAAUAGUAUUUGUAUAGCAUAUAGCAUAUAGCAUGAGAGGUACUUCCAGCAUCGAAUCUGAAAUUAAUUGUUAGCUUCCUCUGUUAUGUGAACAGAAGCAGCUAAGUCUUUGUCUCUUAGAAAGGUUCUUUAAAAAUCAUCAUUCUUUGUCUUAGAUCAUGCAUUAUCCCUACAUCUACACAAGUUUGCUUUUCAAAUGCCAUAUCUUAAAAAAACAUAUUUUGCCUCUGUUCGGAUAAAUUUACUUAAAACAAAAUUGCAAAUUGUAUUGUUAAAAUUAUUUGAUGAAAAGGUAACUUUUCACAAACUAAACAUGUAGGGCAGAUACUGCCUUUUAUUUUAGAAUUUACAUUCAUUAAUCAAAGAUAUCCUAGUGAAAGCAUAAGUGAUGUGCCUUAUGUCUACUUGUUACUCCUGUCUUGGGGACUUGAGCUGUAUUUUUACACACAGAACAAAAGGAUUAUUUUCUCUUACAUUGUUCUCAGCUUUCUAAAGUCAUCAGCUACUUUGAGAAUCUAAUAAAAGUUCUAGACACCUAUGAGAAAUACACAUAUGUAUGCUGUACAAAUUUCCUUGCAGUUUCAGAUGAUCCAUGGACUACAGGUUAAGAAGAUGUUGGUCAGGCCAGGCUCAGUGGCUCAUGCCUGUAAUCCCAGCACUUUGGGAGGCUGAGGCAGGCAGAUCAACUGAGGUCAGGAGUUCGAGACCAGCCUGGCUAACAUGGCAAAACCCCGUCUCUACUAAAAAUACAAAAAUUAGCCAGGCCUGGUUGUGCACACUUGUAAUCCCAACUACUCAGGAGGCUGAGGCAGGAGAAUCGCUUGAACCCAGGAGGCGGAGGUUGCAGAGCACCGAGAUCAUGCCAUUGCACUCCAGCCUGGGUGACAGAGCCAGAGUCUGUCUCAAAAACAAAGCAAAACUAUGUUGGUCAAAUUGGUGUUGAAAAUUUUCUCUAAAACAUUGAAUGGAGACGUCCAGUUUCAGUCCCAACACUUAAAGAGCUUGGAAGUUGUCACUUCCAUACUUAAAACAAGAAAAAAUUGAACAAAGGAAAAUCAAUGGCUUUUCUUGGCCUUAGUAGAGAACUGGAUUUGCAGGGCAAAUUGCUACUUUGAAAACCAGAGAAAGCAGUAAGUCUAGAGAGUCACAGGUGAGAUCUAUUUACACAGAGCAGAAGCAGCUAGAUCCAUAAGCUGGGAGGAACACUGAAAUGGCAUUUCUAAUGAAUUGCUGGAGGCCAAGAGUAGACUAACUUGAGAGUGAGAAACUCCUGGGGGCUACAAUCUGAGGAAACUCCCAAACUGUCCUAGGUUUACUUCUAGAAAUUUUGUCAGCUUCUCAUGAUGAUAAUCCAAAAAAAUUCCUGUUACAGUUUUGGCAGGGGAAGGGGAAGAGAAAACAUUGUGAAAUACUCCCAGACUGUUCUGUAUAAAGCAGACCUAGUCUCCAGGAGAAAAAAACUUUACCUAAGUCUUAUCCCACAGAGAAGGACUUUCCUCCUACUCUUACUCUUUCUAGCCUUCGGUCUCAUGUCAGUUGGGAAAACAAGAUAUAUCACUGGAAAAACACUUGUGAAGGUCACAGCCCAGAGAUGCAGACAGAUUGAGAUUUAAUCAUAAGAUUAUAGAAUGCUUCCCCCACAACACACCUGACCACCGCACCAACAUAAUAUAUGAAUGAAUAAUAAGAAUGAAUUACAGCUGAAAGAGUUGGAAGACACACAGUCUGUCUAAGGAAGGGUUUUUAGAGGAGCCCAAAGCAAGAGGAGAGACAAAAUCAAGGAUAAUAGCUGCAGCCUCUGGCACCAGAACAACAGCAAACAUUAAACAAAGCCCAGCUUCUAGCCACAUGAAUGUAAAUCUUCACAUUAAAGGCCCAUUUACCUCAGUUCUAAUUACCCAAUGCGUCAAAUUGUAAAGCAUGAUAAAUGGAAGAAAACCCCAUAAUCUGAAGAAACCAUGUAAGCAUUAGAACCAGACUCAGAUAGAACACAAGUGUUGGAAUUGUAAGGCAAGAAAAUUUACAUAACUAUGGUAAAGAACAUUCAAGAAAAGUUAAAUAAUGUUUGAAGAGAAGGACUCCACUUACAACACUAGGCAGAUCAUUGAGGUAGAAAAUAAACAAAGAAACUCUGGACUUAAACUGGACUCUAGACCAAAUGGACCUAAUAGACAUUUAUAGAACAUGCUACCAACAACUGUAAAUAUAUAUUUUUUUCAUCUGUGCAUAGAACAUCCUCCAGAAUUGACCAUAAAGCAAGUGUCAACAAACUGGAAAAAAUUGAAAUUAUAUCAAGUGUCUUUUCAGACCACAGUGGAAUACAAUUAGAAAUCAAAACCAAGAGAAACUCUUAGAAUUAUACAAAUACAUGGAAACUAAACAACUUGCUCUGGAAUGACUUUUAGGUAAACAAUAAAAUUAGGGCAGAAAUAAAAAAUUAUCUAAGAUGGAUGAAAAUGGAGACACAACAUACCCAAACCUCUGUGAAGGCAAUGCAAGGAGGAAAAUUUAUAGCAGUAAAUGCCUAUAUCAGAAAGAUAAGAAAAUAUCAAAUUAAAAACCUAACAUCACACAUAAAGGAGCUAGAAAAACAAGAACAAACCAAACACAAAGCUAGCAGAAGAAAAGAAAUAACAAAAUGAGAGAAAAACUAAAUGAGAUUGAGACCCCCAAAAAUACUACAGACGAUAAAUGAAAUAAAAAGUUAAUUCCUUGAAAGAAUAAACAAAAUUGGUAGACUGCUAGGUAGAUUAACCAAGAAAACAAGAGGGAAGAUUCAAAUAAGCACAAUCAGAAAUGAUAAAGGUGACCUUAUAACUGAUAUCACAGAAGUACAAAAGAUUAUUAGAGACUGCUAUGAAUAUCUUU
Long non-coding RNA from Homo sapiens (human), 4655 nucleotides. RefSeq lists it as uncharacterized. NCBI's taxonomy places the organism in Eukaryota, Metazoa, Chordata, Mammalia, Primates, Hominidae. The transcript is spliced from 3 exons. The record is from RefSeq and is a predicted model, not a curated record.